Long non-coding RNA from Oncorhynchus tshawytscha (Chinook salmon), 2379 nucleotides. The record is from Ensembl. Lineage: Eukaryota; Metazoa; Chordata; Actinopteri; Salmoniformes; Salmonidae.
AAUCUAUAGACAGUUGGCUUUAAACUCCUAUGUCAUGUUGUUAUAAAUCACAACAUAGAAUCUAUAGACAGUUGUUAUAAAUCACAACAUAGAAUCUAUAGACAGUUGUUAUAAAUCACAACAUAGAAUCUAUAGACAGUUGGCACUAAACCCCUAUGUCAUGUUGUUAUAAAUCACAACAUAGAAUCUAUAGACACACGGCAGGGUGAUAAAGACACUGGGCUGCUGAGGACAUCAGAUGCACCAGACACUGGACAUACAUCACAUUACUCUAGACUACUGUUCUGUCAGUUCAGACACAACGGAGCUCUAGUUAUUCCCGUAGCAGGGAUAGAAUGGAGACUAAAAGCUGCUACGUUUUGUUUGUAGGAGCAACCCCAGGUGAUCUGGGACAUAACAAGUUGAUAGAGCUGAAGAUUCUGUGUUGCAGUUUUCUUUAACCUUUUGGAUCAAUUUCUCUUCAAAUGAAUAUAUCAGCUUCGAUUUUCAUGUUUGUGAAAAAAACAAGUAUCAUAGUGUGUGAUCUGGUGAACUGACCUUUCACAUUCAAACUGACCCCUGACCCCUGACCCCUGUGAGAGAUGACAUCAUCCAAACUCGUCCUGUACUAGACGCAAAACACAGACCAGGUGUGAGAACACAGACAAACAAAGAGAUAGCUUUGUAGCUAACGACGACACCUCACCUGGAGCACUGGAGGCUGGUGGGAGCGGGAGAUAUCGGAGGACGGGCUCACAUUGUUAACAGCUGGAAUGGGAUAAAACGGAGCGGUAUGAAAACGCGUGACGACUGAGCCUGUCAAUUUAACUACAUCUCCACCCACCAGCCUCCACUGACCCGUAACCAAGGUAACCAACAUGUCCAUCUAUAGAAGACAAGUCAUCGGGGUGUGAGGUAAAGCUACAAUACAAAACCAAUGAGAAUAACAUCACUAGCUAACUAAAGAUACAUGUAACAGUGAUUAUGCCAGUCACUUCUGAGUGGUCAGUCGGGCUUGAUGUUUCCAUAUAGUGCCAUGUUGUGAAUACAUUUAUAAUUACAUGUUAAUGGAGUAAAUUGAAAACCUGUAUUUAAAAUUAAAAAAAAAAAACUGUUCCAAAAUAUUACAGAUGAGUAGUUGUGUUAAAGCUAAGGGCAUAUUUGUUCUCAAAUGGAUUCUACCGGGUCAGAGAAAGAAGGAACGAGCAAAGAUAACUCUGUCCUAUAUAUUACAUGUCUAUUUUUCAUAUAACAUAAUAAAUACAACUUGGAAUUAUCAGCAGCUUACUCCUGGUGACGAUUCUGUUUUUCUGAUCAACUGUCUCAUCUCUGUCCGCCAUUUUAUGUCCUUAAGCUCUUUAUCAUCGUAAUAUAUAGUUAUUGUCUUAUACAGAACAUCUGCUAUUAUCAACAUCCUGUAAAGACACAGGAAGAGGACUUCUGAAGGGAAGUAGAGACAUGACCUUGUUAUUUCUAGCAGCUUGAAGAGGAGCGAGGGAGAGAGAGAGGCGUGAGGGAGAGAGAGGCGCGAGGGAGAGAGAGGCUGGUGGGAGAGAGAGGCUGGUGGGAGAGAGAGGCGCGAGGGAGAGAGAGGCGCGAGUGAGAGAGAGAGGCGUGAGGGAGAGAGAGGCGCGAGGGAGAGAGAGGCUGGUGGGAGAGAGAGGCGCGAGGGAGAGAGAGGCGCGAGAGAGAGAGAGAGGCGCGAGGGAGAGAGAGGCGCGAGAGAGAGAGAGAGGCGCGAGGGAGAGAGAGGCGCGCGAGAGAGAGAGGCGCGAGGGAGAGAGAGCGAGGGAGAGAGAGGCUGGUGGGAGAGAGGCGCGAGGGAGAGAGAGGCGCGAGUGAGAGAGAGGCACGAGGGAGAGAGAGGCGCGAGAGAGAGAGAGAGGCGCGAGGGAGAGAGGCGCGCGAGAGAGAGAGGCGCGAGGGAUAGAGACAGAGGCUAUAAACGGUGCUCCUAGAAAUAGAACUCGAGGACUCUCACAGCGUUUGAUGACUCACCAGGUUAAUGGUUUCUCUAGGCUGUGUGUGACUCUCUCUGUCUCAUUCCCAACCUAUGCGACUGCAGAUAGGAUGGGAGAGGAGGGGCUGCUGCAAACUGUCUCUUAUGGUAAUCAAUCCACGAGGAUUCAAAAGCACAUUUUAGACAUUUUAUUUUUCAGGUGUUGGGUCAUGUAACUCAUUACACAGACCUUCCAUCCAUACCAUCAUAUAAUAACUCAUGUCGUGUCUUUGGCUAUGCCGGAUUAAGUGAUAUGACAUGCUAUUCUAUCAAAUAAUGUCUCUGUAAUUAAUAUUACCUGAUUGAGCUAAUCAUGUAAAUGUCAUUAACUAGAGAGUCGGGGCACCACGAAAUAAUAUUUAUAGAGCUGUUAUCUUCCGAAUAAACUCUUAAAGACCUGG